This 385-nucleotide ribosomal RNA is filed under the name uncultured bacterium. RNAcentral's name for it is "bacterial SSU rRNA". It matches the Rfam family "Bacterial small subunit ribosomal RNA", at positions 355 to 737 of the family's 1533-position model. The record is from RNAcentral.
UAAGGAAUAUUGGUCAAUGGGGGCAACCCUGAACCAGCCAUGCCGCGUGCAGGAAGACGGCCCUACGGGUUGUAAACUGCUUUUAUACGGGAAUAAACCUCUUUACGUGUAAAGAGUUGAAUGUACUGUAAGAAUAAGGAUCGGCUAACUCCGUGCCAGCAGCCGCGGUAAUACGGAGGAUCCAAGCGUUAUCCGGAUUUAUUGGGUUUAAAGGGUGCGUAGGCGGCCUAUUAAGUCAGGGGUGAAAGACGGUGGCUCAACCAUCGCAGUGCCUUUGAUACUGAUGGGCUUGAUUACACUUGAGGUAGGCGGAAUGUGACAAGUAGCGGUGAAAUGCAUAGAUAUGUCACAGAACACCAAUUGCGAAGGCAGCUUACUAAGGUGU